GCGGGAGUGGUGAAAUUGGUAUACACGCCAGAUUUAGGUUCUGGUGCCGAGAGGCGUGAGGGUUCAAGUCCCUUCUCCCGUAC
Molecule: transfer RNA, 83 nt
Filed under: Aurantimicrobium photophilum
Lineage: Bacteria; Bacillati; Actinomycetota; Actinomycetes; Micrococcales; Microbacteriaceae
Also listed under: 2 other names
Description: Aurantimicrobium sp. MWH-Mo1 tRNA-Leu
Rfam family: tRNA
About the family: Transfer RNA (tRNA) molecules are approximately 80 nucleotides in length. Their secondary structure includes four short double-helical elements and three loops (D, anti-codon, and T loops).
Source: RNAcentral